UUUGGUGGUCAUAGCACGAGCAAAACACCCGGAUCCAUUCCGAACCCGGCCGUUAAGUGCCGUAGCGCCGAUGGUACUGCGUCUUAAGACGUGGGAGAGUAGGUCACCGCCAAAC
Molecule: ribosomal RNA, 115 nt
Filed under: Puniceibacterium antarcticum
Lineage: Bacteria; Pseudomonadati; Pseudomonadota; Alphaproteobacteria; Rhodobacterales; Paracoccaceae
Source: RNAcentral